Long non-coding RNA from Labrus mixtus (cuckoo wrasse), 339 nucleotides. RefSeq lists it as uncharacterized. Lineage: Eukaryota; Metazoa; Chordata; Actinopteri; Labriformes; Labridae. The record is from RefSeq and is a predicted model, not a curated record. The transcript is spliced from 4 exons.
GAGUAAAAAAGUUUCACGCUGAACUCGUAUAAAAGCAUGCAGUCGUUUAUCACAAAGUUUUUUUAAUCAGUUAAGUCAUGAAUCUAAACCUGACGUUGAUGUUCACAGGUGUGGUCAGGUGUUGUCAGGUGUUGUCAGGUGUCUCCAGGUGUCUCCAGGUGUUGUCAGGUGUCUCCAGGUAUUGUCAGGUGUUGUCAGGUGUCUCCAGGUAUUGUCAGGUGUUGUCAGGUAUCUUCAGGUGUCUCCAGGUGUUGUCAGGUGUCAUCGAGUGUCUUCAGGUGUCCUCAGGUGUCUUCAGGUGUCCUCAGGUGUCUCCAGGUGUCCUCAGGUGUCUCCAGG